This is a long non-coding RNA of Pyrus x bretschneideri (Chinese white pear), 1076 nucleotides long. RefSeq lists it as uncharacterized. The transcript is spliced from 2 exons. The record is from RefSeq and is a predicted model, not a curated record. NCBI's taxonomy places the organism in Eukaryota, Viridiplantae, Streptophyta, Magnoliopsida, Rosales, Rosaceae.
ACAAACACAAUUCAUAAAUCUCCAAAAUCCUCGUCAAAAUGAUCCAGAGAAGAUCUUGUUGGUUCUGGGCAUACUAAAAAAUCAUUCCCCGCGUCACGACCACCCUUUUCCCUUUAUUCAUAAUCACAAUACGUCCCUCUCUUUCUCUUCGAUGGACAACGACUGACAAGACUGAUGUGGGUAUGGCUUGUGAUGAGGAAGUUUGAGGGAAAUUCAGCUGCUGCUUGAUCCACGGACCACAGUCGAGCGGAGUCGUUUCCAUAGAGGCACAGAGUGAGUAGAUGGAAAAAGAUCGAAGAGAAGGAAGAAGACUUGACGAUGGAUUUGGGGCUCAAACUUUGCAGCUGUUGUGUGAAUUCGGGGUUCAAAUUCCAUGGAUUUGAAGGUCAUACUCGCAGGGUUUUUCUUUGAAGGAAGAAGGCAUGACGAUUUGAGUUAAAUACCCUUCUCUCAUAUGUUUAGAUGGACACCACAUAGCCAAUAUUUCUUCCAAGCCAACAGAUUCUGUUAAUUUUUACGAAAUGGAUAGAAUUCGACCAACAACAAGAACAACAAAACCUUUUUUCACUAAGUGGUUACAAAAUCCAACCAAAAUGAAAAAAAAAAAAAAAAAAAAAAAAAAAAAAAGAAGGAGCUACAAAAUGCAGAGUGAUUAUAUUUUUGUUUCAAAGAAGAAAGUGAAUUUAAAUUCGAAUUUCAGGUAGGGUAUGAAAAAAGCCUUAAUUAUGUUUAGGAUCUUCAUUCUCGUAAGUCGUAAUGAUAUUCAAAAGCGUGCAAGAAAUCUAUUUCAUAUCCAAAUUUUCUCCAAACAAAUAAAUAUCCUCAGUAAACAAAUAUAACGGACAAAAUUAUCAUCUUGAGGCUUGUUAUAUAAUUAGUAUAUAUGUGUUAGAGGAAGUAUUUGUUGAUAUUAUUAUCUAAAACAUUAAGUAUAAAUUCAUCAUCUUGCUACAUCAUCUUGCUAUAUUAUUACACAUCAACUGCCGACCUCAAUUGUCUGUAACUGGCUCUUCCUUAUCAAUUAAAUAUAUCCUAUCGUUGCUAUAUUUAAAAAAAAAAAAAAAAAAAAAACAAAA